Molecule: ribosomal RNA, 449 nt
Filed under: uncultured bacterium
Lineage: Bacteria
Description: partial 16S ribosomal RNA
Rfam family: Bacterial small subunit ribosomal RNA
Source: RNAcentral
AACGAACGCUGGCGGCAUGCCUAACACAUGCAAGUCGAACGAGAUCUUCGGGUCUAGUGGCGCACGGGUGCGUAACGCGUGGGAAUCUGCCCUUUGGUUCGGAAUAACAGUUGGAAACGACUGCUAAUACCGGAUGAUGACGAAAGUCCAAAGAUUUAUCGCCAGAGGAUGAGCCCGCGUAGGAUUAGCUAGUUGGUGUGGUAAAGGCGCACCAAGGCGACGAUCCUUAGCUGGUCUGAGAGGAGGAUCAGCCACACUGGGACUGAGACACGGCCCAGACUCCUACGGGAGGCAGCAGUGGGGAAUAUUGGACAAUGGGCGAAAGCCUGAUCCAGCAAUGCCGCGUGAGUGAUGAAGGCCUUAGGGUUGUAAAGCUCUUAUACCCGGGAUGAUAAUGACAGUACCGGGAGAAUAAGCUCCGGCUAAAUCCGUGCCAGCCGCCGCAGUAA